Molecule: unclassified non-coding RNA, 637 nt
Filed under: Hevea brasiliensis (rubber tree)
Lineage: Eukaryota; Viridiplantae; Streptophyta; Magnoliopsida; Malpighiales; Euphorbiaceae
Source: RNAcentral
CUCGCACUUACUCUUAUAUUUGUUUUGUGCUUUCCUGGAGCACCCAAAGUGGAUGCUUCAUGUGGAUCCUACAUCUUAUGCUGGAGUGCAGUCUAGCAAGAACCCCUUAUUCUUGGGGGUUCUUCCUCCAAAAGAAAGGUUUCCUGAGAAGUACAUCUCUGUCAUAUCGGGUGUUCCUUCCACUCUUCACCCAGGGGCAUGUAUUCUGGUUGUUGGAAAGCAAAGCCCUCCAAUCUUUGCCUUGUACUGGGAUAAGAAACUUUGUUUUCAGGGAAGAACAGCAUUGUGGGAUACCAUCUUGCUUUUGUGCCACAAGAUCAAGGUAGGAUAUGGAGGCAUAGUUCGGGGUAUGCAUCUUGGUUCGUCAGCCUUAAGCAUACUUCCAGUUCUGGAGUCAGAAACUGAUGACUGACUAUUGCAUUCCAGCUCGAUAUGGCAAUGAAUGAUAUGAUACAAGUCUCAUCUCAAUGGUUAAAUGCGCAAGUUCGCUGGACCGCCUAAAAUCUUUCUUGCUAUAAAAGGGUUGUCCAAAAUUUUGGCAAUGUCCUUAUGCAGUCCACUGAUGAUUGGCCAAAGAAAUUAGGCAAAAAUUUGCCGGCAUUGUACUUCUUCGAAGCUUUUUUCCCCUACACCUGCC